Molecule: transfer RNA, 75 nt
Filed under: Rubrivirga sp. SAORIC476
Lineage: Bacteria; Pseudomonadati; Rhodothermota; Rhodothermia; Rhodothermales; Rubricoccaceae
Also listed under: 1 other name
Description: tRNA-Met
Rfam family: tRNA
About the family: Transfer RNA (tRNA) molecules are approximately 80 nucleotides in length. Their secondary structure includes four short double-helical elements and three loops (D, anti-codon, and T loops).
Source: RNAcentral
CGCGGGGUGGAGAAGUGGUAUCUCGUCGGGCUCAUAACCCGAAGAUCGGGGGUUCGAAUCCCCCCCCCGCUACUA